This 113-nucleotide ribosomal RNA is filed under the name Rhododendron griersonianum. The record is from RNAcentral. Lineage: Eukaryota; Viridiplantae; Streptophyta; Magnoliopsida; Ericales; Ericaceae.
CUGCGAUCAUACCAGCACUAAUGCACCGGAUCCCAUCAUAACUCCGCAGUUAAGCGUGCUUGGGCGAGAGUAGUACUAGGAUGGGUGACCCCCUGGGAAGUCCUCGUGUUGCA